Molecule: ribosomal RNA, 460 nt
Filed under: uncultured bacterium
Lineage: Bacteria
Description: partial 16S ribosomal RNA
Rfam family: Bacterial small subunit ribosomal RNA
Source: RNAcentral
CCUACGGGAGGCAGCAGUGAGGAAUAUUGGUCAAUGGGCGCGAGCCUGAACCAGCCAAGUCGCGUGAAGGAUGACUGCCCUACGGGUUGUAAACUUCUUUUAUAAAGGGAUAAAGUGAGGCACGCGUGCCUUUUUGUAAGUACUUUAUGAAUAAGGAUCGGCUAACUCCGUGCCAGCAGCCGCGGUAAUACGGAGGAUUCGAGCGUUAUCCGGAUUUAUUGGGUUUAAAGGGAGCGUAGGUGGGUUGUUAAGUCAGAUGUGAAAGUCUGCGGCUCAACCGUAAAAUUGCAAUUGAUACUGGCAGGCUUGAGUACAGUUGAGGUAGGCGGAAUUCAUGGUGUAGCGGUGAAAUGCUUAGAGAUCACGAAGAACUCCGAUUGCGAAGGCAGCUUACUAAACUGCCACUGACGUUGAUGCUCGAAAGUGUGGGUAGCAAACAGGAUUAGAUACCCGUGUAGUC